This 634-nucleotide long non-coding RNA is filed under the name Monodelphis domestica (gray short-tailed opossum). RNAcentral's name for it is "lncRNA (ENSMODG00000045312.1)". Lineage: Eukaryota; Metazoa; Chordata; Mammalia; Didelphimorphia; Didelphidae. The record is from RNAcentral.
UGGAAAAUCAACUUAUACAAGCAUUUAUUUUGUGGUGUGACUUAUAGCUUUUCCUACUGCAUUUGCUCAUUGCCAAAAAACUGCUUUUUGUCAUAUGCUAUACACAUAAAUACUAUAUAAUGGGAACAAGGUGUCAGCUGGAGGCAUUCAGACCACAUUUGCUUUACUCCUACUUCUUGAGGCGUGCCUUAUAUGGCAGACUGUGCCCCUGGAACACCUUGGCCUAUGCUGUUGGAGCUGUGGGUGUGGUGAACAUUUCCUGGCACAAGGGAGGAUUUCAAGAAAGCGUUGGCUCUCUCUGGGUUGAGACAGGUUCCUGACCCCUGCCUGCUCACAAGUAACAAUAGUCCCCAGAUUACUUGAGGGAGACACAAUGGAGAUCUCCCCUUGGUGAAGGCUUGCCCUUGACAGAUAUGCUGGCCCUCAAGGGUGGCAGAGAAGUCUUCUCUACAAGGAGAGGUAUUUGGAACUUCAAUCCAGAUAUGUGCUGCUUUGGGUGGCUCUCAAGUGUCUGGUGUCUUCUUGAAAACUGCCCUGGUGUCUUCUUGAAAACUGGCAACAAGAUGGAGUCUUCCAAUGGGCUUACCCUCUUGAUGUAAAUAAAUGAGACUGAAUUCGCUAUCUGACUGCUUAU